Molecule: ribosomal RNA, 196 nt
Filed under: uncultured Spirochaetaceae bacterium
Lineage: Bacteria; Pseudomonadati; Spirochaetota; Spirochaetia; Spirochaetales; Spirochaetaceae
Description: partial 16S ribosomal RNA
Rfam family: Bacterial small subunit ribosomal RNA
Source: RNAcentral
AAGUCGUCAUGGCCCCUAUGUCCAGGGCUACACACGUGCUACAAUGGGCGAUACAGAGUGACGCGAAGCCGCGAGGUGGAGCAAAUCGCAGAAAAUCGCUCUCAGUUCGGAUUGGAGUCUGAAACCCGACUCCAUGAAGGUGGAAUCGCUAGUAAUCGCGCAUCAGCAUGGCGCGGUGAAUACGUUCCCGGGCCUU